CCAUCGAUAGCUCAGUUGGUAGAGCGGAGGACUGUAGAUCCUUAGGUCGCUGGUUCGAAUCCAGCUCGAAGGA
RNAcentral lists this transfer RNA (73 nucleotides) under Saccoglossus kowalevskii. RNAcentral's name for it is "tRNA-Tyr". It matches the Rfam family "tRNA". Rfam says of the family: Transfer RNA (tRNA) molecules are approximately 80 nucleotides in length. Their secondary structure includes four short double-helical elements and three loops (D, anti-codon, and T loops). The record is from RNAcentral. Lineage: Eukaryota; Metazoa; Hemichordata; Enteropneusta; Harrimaniidae.